This 254-nucleotide ribosomal RNA is filed under the name uncultured bacterium. RNAcentral describes it as "partial 16S ribosomal RNA". It matches the Rfam family "Bacterial small subunit ribosomal RNA", at positions 524 to 776 of the family's 1533-position model. The record is from RNAcentral.
UACGAAGGGGGGCUAGCGUUGCUCGGAAUCACUGGGCGUAAAGCGCACGUAGGCGGCUUUUUAAGUCAGGGGUGAAAUCCUGGAGCUCAACUCCAGAACUGCCUUUGAUACUGAGAAGCUUGAGUCCGGGAGAGGUGAGUGGAACUGCGAGUGUAGAGGUGAAAUUCGUAGAUAUUCGCAAGAACACCAGUGGCGAAGGCGGCUCACUGGCCCGGUACUGACGCUGAGGCACGAAAGCGUGGGGAGCAAACAGG